GUAAAGCUUGCCGAGAUAUCACCAACUUUGGAUAUUUGGUCUCUGAGUUGCAUUGUUAUUGAGAUUAUCACAGGAAAGCCACCAUGGCAAAAAUUGGAUGCAGAAGAUAUAUUAGUUCGUUAGGCUUAUGAGGGUAGCUCACUUGAGAUACCAGAAAGCAUGUUAAAGAAAGGGAAAUAUUUCUUAAAAAUGUCUUUCAUGAGACCCCAUUGCGAGAGGUGGACAGCAAAUAUGCUAUUAAAUCAUUCUUUUAUUGUUGAUGAAGAGCUUACUUCACCAUUUGAGAAACAAGAACCCUCACCGCCAAGCCUUAGUGAUGAUAUUGUUAAGUCCAUGUGCGAGCUAAUACUAUCUGAUUCACCUGGACAAAGUCUAUUUUCUUAUGUAGAUAGGCCACUGAGCUUGGGUUCUACAUGUAGACGGCUGAAUUUUGGUUCUAUAGGAAUGGGUUGAAGGAGCGGAAGCGUGA
RNAcentral lists this unclassified non-coding RNA (469 nucleotides) under Hevea brasiliensis (rubber tree). Lineage: Eukaryota; Viridiplantae; Streptophyta; Magnoliopsida; Malpighiales; Euphorbiaceae. The record is from RNAcentral.